UGAUAAAUCACCUUCAGUUCAGUAUGUUCAAAUGGGUGUCUUCCUCUAGAUGUCUUGACAUUGCUUGUGACAUCCCCCAGGGGUCAGUGUUGGGCCCCAAAUUAUUUAAUAUAUAUAUAUUAAUGAUGUUUUUAGUGUUUCUAAACUGGUAAAAUGAAGAUUGUUUGCAGAUGACACCAACAUAUUCUACAGCAAUGACAGUUUUGAACAACUCAUAAAUACAGUGAACAAUGAACUAAGAAAAAUUAAAAGAUGGAUGGAAAGUAACAAAUUGUCUUUAAAUUUAAAUAAAACAAAAACAAUGGUGUUUGGAAAUUAUAAAUUAAACCAACAUAUAAUGGUUGAGAUAGAUGGAGUCCAAAUUGAAAAUUGAAAACAUUUUUAGGCUUAACAGACCAUAAGUUAAGUUGGAAAGCACACAUCAGACAUAUAUCAACCAAAGUCUCCAAAAGCCUUGCAAUAAUUAAUAAAGUUAAACAUAUUUUUGAUCACAAUGUACUACAUAUUUUGUAUUGUUCUCUCAUUCUUCCAUACCUGACCUACUGUGUAGAAGUAUGGGGCAAUAAUUAUAAACAAUCAAUUAAAUCACUAUUCUUACU
Thalassophryne amazonica is the source of this 599-nucleotide long non-coding RNA. RefSeq lists it as uncharacterized. Lineage: Eukaryota; Metazoa; Chordata; Actinopteri; Batrachoidiformes; Batrachoididae. The record is from RefSeq and is a predicted model, not a curated record. The transcript is spliced from 3 exons.